GGGUUGUGAGGUUAAGCGACUAAGCGUACACGGUGGAUGCCCUGGCAGUCAGAGGCGAUGAAGGACGUGCUAAUCUGCGAUAAGCGUCGGUAAGGUGAUAUGAACCGUUAUAACCGGCGAUUUCCGAAUGGGGAAACCCAGUGUGUUUCGACACACUAUCAUUAACUGAAUCCAUAGGUUAAUGAGGCGAACCGGGGGAACUGAAACAUCUAAGUACCCCGAGGAAAAGAAAUCAACCGAGAUUCCCCCAGUAGCGGCGAGCGAACGGGGAGCAGCCCAGAGCCUGAAUCAGUGUGUGUGUUAGUGGAAGCGUCUGGAAAGGCGCGCGAUACAGGGUGACAGCCCCGUACACAAAAAUGCACAUGCUGUGAGCUCGAUGAGUAGGGCGGGACACGUGGUAUCCUGUCUGAAUAUGGGGGGACCAUCCUCCAAGGCUAAAUACUCCUGACUGACCGAUAGUGAACCAGUACCGUGAGGGAAAGGCGAAAAGAACCCCGGCGAGGGGAGUGAAAAAGAACCUGAAACCGUGUACGUACAAGCAGUGGGAGCCUCUUUUAUGGGGUGACUGCGUACCUUUUGUAUAAUGGGUCAGCGACUUAUAUUCUGUAGCAAGGUUAACCGAAUAGGGGAGCCGAAGGGAAACCGAGUCUUAACUGGGCGUUAAGUUGCAGGGUAUAGACCCGAAACCCGGUGAUCUAGCCAUGGGCAGGUUGAAGGUUGGGUAACACUAACUGGAGGACCGAACCGACUAAUGUUGAAAAAUUAGCGGAUGACUUGUGGCUGGGGGUGAAAGGCCAAUCAAACCGGGAGAUAGCUGGUUCUCCCCGAAAGCUAUUUAGGUAGCGCCUCGUGAAUUCAUCUCCGGGGGUAGAGCACUGUUUCGGCAAGGGGGUCAUCCCGACUUACCAACCCGAUGCAAACUGCGAAUACCGGAGAAUGUUAUCACGGGAGACACACGGCGGGUGCUAACGUCCGUCGUGAAGAGGGAAACAACCCAGACCGCCAGCUAAGGUCCCAAAGUCAUGGUUAAGUGGGAAACGAUGUGGGAAGGCCCAGACAGCCAGGAUGUUGGCUUAGAAGCAGCCAUCAUUUAAAGAAAGCGUAAUAGCUCACUGGUCGAGUCGGCCUGCGCGGAAGAUGUAACGGGGCUAAACCAUGCACCGAAGCUGCGGCAGCGACACUGUGUGUUGUUGGGUAGGGGAGCGUUCUGUAAGCCUGUGAAGGUGUGCUGUGAGGCAUGCUGGAGGUAUCAGAAGUGCGAAUGCUGACAUAAGUAACGAUAAAGCGGGUGAAAAGCCCGCUCGCCGGAAGACCAAGGGUUCCUGUCCAACGUUAAUCGGGGCAGGGUGAGUCGACCCCUAAGGCGAGGCCGAAAGGCGUAGUCGAUGGGAAACAGGUUAAUAUUCCUGUACUUGGUGUUACUGCGAAGGGGGGACGGAGAAGGCUAUGUUGGCCGGGCGACGGUUGUCCCGGUUUAAGCGUGUAGGCUGGUUUUCCAGGCAAAUCCGGAAAAUCAAGGCUGAGGCGUGAUGACGAGGCACUACGGUGCUGAAGCAACAAAUGCCCUGCUUCCAGGAAAAGCCUCUAAGCAUCAGGUAACAUCAAAUCGUACCCCAAACCGACACAGGUGGUCAGGUAGAGAAUACCAAGGCGCUUGAGAGAACUCGGGUGAAGGAACUAGGCAAAAUGGUGCCGUAACUUCGGGAGAAGGCACGCUGAUAUGUAGGUGAAGUCCCUCGCGGAUGGAGCUGAAAUCAGUCGAAGAUACCAGCUGGCUGCAACUGUUUAUUAAAAACACAGCACUGUGCAAACACGAAAGUGGACGUAUACGGUGUGACGCCUGCCCGGUGCCGGAAGGUUAAUUGAUGGGGUCAGCGCAAGCGAAGCUCUUGAUCGAAGCCCCGGUAAACGGCGGCCGUAACUAUAACGGUCCUAAGGUAGCGAAAUUCCUUGUCGGGUAAGUUCCGACCUGCACGAAUGGCGUAAUGAUGGCCAGGCUGUCUCCACCCGAGACUCAGUGAAAUUGAACUCGCUGUGAAGAUGCAGUGUACCCGCGGCAAGACGGAAAGACCCCGUGAACCUUUACUAUAGCUUGACACUGAACAUUGAGCCUUGAUGUGUAGGAUAGGUGGGAGGCUUAGAAGUGUGGACGCCAGUCUGCAUGGAGCCGACCUUGAAAUACCACCCUUUAAUGUUUGAUGUUCUAACGUUGACCCGUAAUCCGGGUUGCGGACAGUGUCUGGUGGGUAGUUUGACUGGGGCGGUCUCCUCCUAAAGAGUAACGGAGGAGCACGAAGGUUGGCUAAUCCUGGUCGGACAUCAGGAGGUUAGUGCAAUGGCAUAAGCCAGCUUGACUGCGAGCGUGACGGCGCGAGCAGGUGCGAAAGCAGGUCAUAGUGAUCCGGUGGUUCUGAAUGGAAGGGCCAUCGCUCAACGGAUAAAAGGUACUCCGGGGAUAACAGGCUGAUACCGCCCAAGAGUUCAUAUCGACGGCGGUGUUUGGCACCUCGAUGUCGGCUCAUCACAUCCUGGGGCUGAAGUAGGUCCCAAGGGUAUGGCUGUUCGCCAUUUAAAGUGGUACGCGAGCUGGGUUUAGAACGUCGUGAGACAGUUCGGUCCCUAUCUGCCGUGGGCGCUGGAGAACUGAGGGGGGCUGCUCCUAGUACGAGAGGACCGGAGUGGACGCAUCACUGGUGUUCGGGUUGUCAUGCCAAUGGCACUGCCCGGUAGCUAAAUGCGGAAGAGAUAAGUGCUGAAAGCAUCUAAGCACGAAACUUGCCCCGAGAUGAGUUCUCCCUGACCCUUUAAGGGUCCUGAAGGAACGUUGAAGACGACGACGUUGAUAGGCCGGGUGUGUAAGCGCAGCGAUGCGUUGAGCUAACCGGUACUAAUGAACCGUGAGGCUUAACCUUACAACGCCGAAGCUGUU
This 2929-nucleotide ribosomal RNA is filed under the name Escherichia coli. RNAcentral describes it as "23S ribosomal RNA". It matches the Rfam family "Bacterial large subunit ribosomal RNA". Lineage: Bacteria; Pseudomonadati; Pseudomonadota; Gammaproteobacteria; Enterobacterales; Enterobacteriaceae. The record is from RNAcentral.